AUUGAACGCUGGCGGCAGGCCUAACACAUGCAAGUCGAGCGGAUGAAGGGAGCUUGCUCCUGGAUUCAGCGGCGGACGGGUGAGUAAUGCCUAGGAAUCUGCCUGGUAGUGGGGGAUAACGUCCGGAAACGGGCGCUAAUACCGCAUACGUCCUGAGGGAGCAAGUGGGGGAUCUUCGGACCUCACGCUAUCAGAUGAGUCUAGGUCGGAUUAGCUAGUUGGUGGGGUAAAGGCCUACCAAGGCGACGAUCCGUAACUGGUCUGAGAGGAUGAUCAGCCACACUGGAACGGAGACGCGGUCCAGGCUCCUACGGGAGGCAGCAGUGUGGAAUAGUGGACAGUGGGGGAAAGCCUGGUCCAGCCAUGCCGAGUGUGUUAAGAAGGUCUUCGGAUUGUAAAGCACGUUUAGGUGGGAGGAAGGGCAGUAAGUUAAUACCUUGCUGUUGUGACGUUACCAACAGAAGAAGCACCGGCUAACUUCGUG
Molecule: ribosomal RNA, 484 nt
Filed under: uncultured bacterium
Lineage: Bacteria
Description: partial 16S ribosomal RNA
Rfam family: Bacterial small subunit ribosomal RNA
Source: RNAcentral